UCCAUUUACCAAGGAACAUCUGAUUAGUAAUUUCCUUCCAGAACUCUCCUGGAGCUAGCACUCAAACAUUCCAUCACAUAUAUACAGUCUCCAAGUGUAAAUUAAUUCUUUUGACUACUGUAUUAUGCUAAAUUUUCUGUAGCUUCAUAAUGGACCAAUAUCUACUCACUUCAUAAGAAGUGAAGUGGUUGUAGUAACCACUCUGGUUGUGCUAAUAAAAUCUUGUGCCAGGAAUGCAAAUCUAAGGCACUUCAUUUUAACUGCCUAAUCAACCUCCAGAGCUGGUGCCUCUGAAAGGUAAACCUAUAUCCCUUCUCUAACCCUUAAUAUCAACUGUAUUCAAACUGCACAUAAUAUAUUAUUUUGUGUUUUGUACUUCCAGGGUUAUUAACCAAAUAGAGAUGAUUAUAAUAUUAUGGCAUGCAAAAUAUAUUUUCAUUAUAAAGCUAGAGGUAGGAAUUUUUUUUUAAAUCUUAAAAUAUAGAAGACCUAUGCUGUUAAAAAAUCAACAAAAUAAUUUUUAGAAAUCUUUUUCUGAUAUUCUUAACAGGAUGGAUCUUCUGUAUUUCAACUAUGAUUGACAGUUUUCCUAUUUUUUUUCUUCAUAUGGCUUAAGAAAUAUGAUAUCAAGCUAAUACAUUAGUUAGGAGUCACUAAGUUUUGAAUGAAGAGAAGUUAAGUUGCAUUAAAUUCAAAUUAGUUUUUAAUUUAAUUUAUUAACUUAAAUUAAUUACAACUAAAUCUUUAAUUCUGAAAUUAGAUCAUUUGCCCAAUGCACAUAUGCAUGCUUUGGAUAACUUUAGGACAAGAAAAAACAUUACGGAAACUUCAAGAAAGGAUGUUUUUCAUUUGCUCAUCAGGAAAUGUCCAUAUAUGUACAAGAUGUAUUACUUUUCUUUAGAAAGCAUCGCCACUUGAAAUUACAGAAAUCACUGAUUCUUCUGGCUGUCCAACACACAGGUGUAUGCUGUUUAAUUUAUCCACCUUAAAGGCAUUUACAAUUCUUUUAGACUAUUUAUUUAGCUUAUCAAAACAAGUUAUUCAAUAGCCUACAAGAUUGAUUAAUAUGUUUUAAACAUACUUUUAAAAGGAAACUUUUAACUACAUCCUAUAGAAAACCAAGAAGCAUUUGAAACAUUAUAAGUGCUUCCCUUUCUGACAUUCAGAACUGUAUCCCUUUUUAGGAAUUAUACGAAGGCUCACAGUUUCUUCUGUUUUUCUCCCAAUUAACCUCUUCUUUCCUUAAAAAUGCCCACUAACUCCCAUUGUGACACAUGAGAGUGGUUUUUGACCCUGAAAGAAACAAAUCUAUACAUGUUUUAAUAAUUCAAGAUAUUUGUGAAGAUGUUUAAAGAUGUGGAUUAAUAUCCAUAUCUGGAUAACGACUGUGGCUAUUUUUACUUGACACAGAAUAAUUUCACCAUUAUUUCUAACAUAAAAAAUAUUUAUUU
Molecule: long non-coding RNA, 1451 nt
Organism: Cercocebus atys (sooty mangabey)
Lineage: Eukaryota; Metazoa; Chordata; Mammalia; Primates; Cercopithecidae
Exons: 2
Source: RefSeq, a predicted model, not a curated record